GCUUGUCUCAAAGAUUAAGCCAUGCAUGUCUAAGUAUAAACAAAUCUAUACUGUGAAACUGCGAAUGGCUCAUUAUAUCAGUUAUAGUUUCUUUGAUGGUUCUUACUACUUGGAUAACCGUAGUAAUUCUAGAGCUAAUACAUGCAUGAACCCCCGACUUUUGAAGGGGUGUAUUUAUUAGACUUAAGCCAAUAUUCCUUGUGUCUAUUGCGAUGAUUCAUAAUAACUGAUCGAAUCUCAAAUUUGAGAUAAAUCAUUCAAGUUUCUGCCCUAUCAGCUUUCGAUGGUAGUGUAUUGGACUACCAUGGCAGUAACGGGUAACGAAGAAUUAGGGUUCGAUUUCGGAGAGGGAGCAUGAGAAACGGCUACCACAUCUAAGGAAGGCAGCAGG
Molecule: ribosomal RNA, 391 nt
Filed under: uncultured Scuticociliatia
Lineage: Eukaryota; Ciliophora; Oligohymenophorea
Description: partial small subunit ribosomal RNA
Rfam family: Eukaryotic small subunit ribosomal RNA
Source: RNAcentral